This 467-nucleotide ribosomal RNA is filed under the name uncultured bacterium. RNAcentral's name for it is "partial 16S ribosomal RNA". It matches the Rfam family "Bacterial small subunit ribosomal RNA", at positions 28 to 507 of the family's 1533-position model. The record is from RNAcentral.
GAUGAACGCUGGCGGCGUGCUUAACACAUGCAAGUCGAACGGAAAGGCCUCUGCUUGCAGGGGUACUCGAGUGGCGAACGGGUGAGUAACACGUGGGUGAUCUGCCCUGCACUUCGGGAUAAGCCUGGGAAGCUGGGUCUAAUACCGGAUAGGACAAUGGUUUGGAUGCUGUUGUGGAAAGUUUUUCGGUGUGGGAUGAGCUCGCGGCCUAUCAGCUUGUUGGUGGGGUAAUGGCCUACCAAGGCGUCGACGGGUAGCCGGCCUGAGAGGGUGUACGGCCACAUGGGGACUGAGAUACGGCCCAGACUCCUACGGGAGGCAGCAGUGGGGAAUAUUGCACAAUGGGCGCAAGCCUGAUGCAGCGACGCCGCGUGGGGGAUGACGGCCUUCGGGUUGUAAACUCCUUUCGCUAGGGACGAAGCGUUUUUGUGACGGUACCUGGAGAAGAAGCACCGGCUAACUACGUG